GGGGAUGUAGCUCAGUGGUGUAGCACCUGCCUGGCAAGCACGAGGCCCUGAGUUUGAUUCCCAGUACCA
RNAcentral lists this transfer RNA (69 nucleotides) under Heterocephalus glaber (naked mole-rat). It matches the Rfam family "tRNA". From Rfam's summary of the family: Transfer RNA (tRNA) molecules are approximately 80 nucleotides in length. Their secondary structure includes four short double-helical elements and three loops (D, anti-codon, and T loops). Further hydrogen bonds mediate the characteristic L-shaped molecular structure. tRNAs have two regions of fundamental functional importance: the anti-codon, which is responsible for specific mRNA codon recognition, and the 3' end, to which the tRNAs corresponding amino acid is attached (by aminoacyl-tRNA synthetases). tRNAs cope with the degeneracy of the genetic code in two manners: having more than one tRNA (with a specific anti-codon) for a particular amino acid; and 'wobble' base-pairing, i.e. permitting non-standard base-pairing at the 3rd anti-codon position. Lineage: Eukaryota; Metazoa; Chordata; Mammalia; Rodentia; Bathyergidae. The record is from Rfam by way of RNAcentral.